Oncorhynchus keta (chum salmon) is the source of this 557-nucleotide long non-coding RNA. RefSeq lists it as uncharacterized. Lineage: Eukaryota; Metazoa; Chordata; Actinopteri; Salmoniformes; Salmonidae. The transcript has 4 exons. The record is from RefSeq and is a predicted model, not a curated record.
AGGGUUAAAUGAACUAAUAUGAGGUUUCACAGGGUUAAAUGAACUAAUAUGAGGUUUCACAGGGUUAAAUGAACUAAUAUGAGGUUUCACAGGGUUAAAUGAACUAAUAUGAGGUUUCACAGGGUUAAAUGAACUAAUAUGAGGUUUCACAGGGUUAAAUGAACUAAUAUGAGGUUUCACAGGGUUAAAUGAACUAAUAUGAGGUUUCACAGGGUUAAAUGAACUAAUAUGACGAGGUUUCACAGGGUUAAAUGAACUAAUAUGACGAGGUUUCACAGGGUUAAAUGAACUAAUAUGAGGUUUCACAGGGUUAAAUGAACUAAUAUGAGGUUUCACAGGGUUAAAUGAACUAAUAUGAGGUUUCACAGGGUUAAAUGAACUAAUAUGAGGUUUCACAGGGUUAAAUGAACUAAUAUGAGGUUUCACAGGGUUAAAUGAACUAAUAUGAGGUUUCACAGGGUUAAAUGAACUAAUAUGAGGUUUCACAGGGUUAAAUGAACUAAUAUGAGGUUUCACAGGGUUAAAUGAACUAAUAUAAUGAGGUUUCACAGGGUUAA